RNAcentral lists this long non-coding RNA (1268 nucleotides) under Anolis carolinensis (green anole). RNAcentral describes it as "lncRNA (ENSACAG00000038846.1)". Lineage: Eukaryota; Metazoa; Chordata; Lepidosauria; Squamata; Anolidae. The record is from RNAcentral.
AUGAAAUUAUCAUGGGGUUUUCUUAGCAACAUUUAUUCAGAUGGGAUUUGCUAUUCUCUUAGUCUCUUAGGAUUUGGGGGUGAUUGCACUGGGAAUGAGAGUUGUAGCUCACUCUUAUCCAGACAGCAACGAAUGCAGCCAACGGUGGAUCUGAACAAAACUUCAGUGAUAUUACCUAACAUCCCAAAACAAACAAUGCCUUCUUCUAAUAACCCGAGCACCGAUGGGUCUCCAAGCUAGUAAACAAUAUAGAUAAACACAUACAAAAGACUGUCUCUGAAAUACAACCAUACUAUCUAUACCAUUCAAAAUAUUUUUUUUAAAGAUAAAAAGCAAUACAGCAUGCUAAAACCUCUCUCUUAAAAAUAACUGAAGAAAAAAGCUAGCUAAUAAAAAGAUAUGGGGGGGGGGGGAGACAGUCUAGCUUCCCUAAUUCUCAUGAAACCUAUAUUUCCCAAAGAAAACUGAAAAAAAGCCCUUCAGUUUCAAAGAGAAAAAAUAAACAUUUUCAUGAAGCACUGAAACCCUAGCUACACCACUGAGCAAAGCAUAAGUGAUAGGAACCACAUAGGAGUCUACCCAGUCACAAUAUCUUGCAUAAUUUAUUCCAUGUACAAUGAAGAUCCGAUCAAAUUUCAUGCAUGUUUACUAUCUGGAAGACAAAUGCUUGACUGUUCGAAGCAACUGGAGAGUACAAAUAUGGUUCAGAGCAGUAUAUAUUAUCUCUGACAUUUUAAUCUUUAACAUCUUCCUAUUUGCACUGCCUUUCUACAAGGUUGGGUGGAUUUAAAUGACAAUAACCUAAUUGAAACUUGGGGUGAAUUGUAUUGCUUGAAACUACUAUUACUGUACUACUGAUACCACUUUUACACAAACACCCACCCACCACUGUUUACAUAUAUUGAACAACGACCAUCAACACAACCACAACCACCUUAAAAUAAAUGAAUCUAAAACAACCUUUUAAGCGACCCGCCAAAAAAGUCCCCACAGGGACACAGAUUUUCCACUGAAUCAAGGAGCGGAGGUAAAUUUGUAAUGUUUGUCCAUCUGUGUGGCUUUGUGGAUGGUGGGCAGGAGCCACUUCUGCCCCGGCCUCCUGGGCUUUGUGUGGCAAGGAAGUAGCGGGGCAAUGGGGAGUGGGGGGAAGAGGGCCGGCAAGGCGGUUGUUCUGAUCGAGGCCCUGCUCCUUUCUUCCCUUCUUUUGACACUCCUCCCUCUCUCCCUCCCUCUCUCCUCCAAGAGGUUUGGGAAGGUGAGUUGGAGGG